This 497-nucleotide ribosomal RNA is filed under the name uncultured bacterium. RNAcentral's name for it is "partial 16S ribosomal RNA". It matches the Rfam family "Bacterial small subunit ribosomal RNA", at positions 28 to 507 of the family's 1533-position model. The record is from RNAcentral.
GAUGAACGCUGGCGGCGUGCCUAAUACAUGCAAGUCGAGCGAACAGAUAAGGAGCUUGCUCCUUUGACGUUAGCGGCGGACGGGUGAGUAACACGUGGGUAACCUACCUAUGAGACUGGGAUAACUUCGGGAAACCGGAGCUAAUACCGGAUAACAUUUGGAACCGCAUGGUUCUAAAGUGAAAGAUGGUUUUGCUAUCACUUAUAGAUGGACCCGCGCCGUAUUAGCUAGUUGGUAAGGUAACGGCUUACCAAGGCGACGAUACGUAGCCGACCUGAGAGGGUGAUCGGCCACACUGGAACUGAGACACGGUCCAGACUCCUACGGGAGGCAGCAGUAGGGAAUCUUCCGCAAUAGGCGAAAGCCUGACGGAGCAACGCCGCGUGAGUGAUGAAGGGUUUCGGCUCGUAAAACUCUGUUAUUAGGGAAGAACAAAUGUGUAAGUAACUGUGCACGUCUUGACGGUACCUAAUCAGAAAGCCACGGCUAACUACGUG